UUAAACAAAUGUUUACAGCGUUUUAUCCCAGAUUCUGAAAAAAUUGUUCCAUUCACUCAUCAGUGUCUAGAAUUACAUAAGUACGUGGUAAUAGUUCUCGUUAUGUGGAAAAUCUUACCCGAAUGCCUUUAAUCUUUGAGUCAGAGCCGCAGAUGUUUGUGCUCUGGAGUCAACGGCAACACCAAGUGUGGAUGGCAACUCCGUAAUCCAAUAACUUGGAUACGACGAUAGACAGAUCUCAUUCCAAUCUUCCUCCCAUCCUCAGCAAAUCAGUUACCUGCAACCUGCCUGAUAGUGGAAAAAUGGUUCCGAAGAGCUAAUUGUCUUAAGUGGAGUUUUUGGCCUUUUGCCACGCCAAAAACCUUAUGGACUACAGCGCGGCUCUAUCCAAAACUUGUGAAAAACCCAAAAAUUGCCCUACUUAUGGACUUUUUUGCGACAGUUGCAGUAGUUUAGCGGCAUGUAUCCAAGAUGACGACACUUACACAAAACAGAACACGAAAACUUGUGAACUACGGAGAAAAAUGUAUCAAGAAUAAGUGCACUACUGCACAGGAUCCCUUUUGCGAUGGUAUCGCAGAUUUGCCUUUUCCAUGUCUGUUUGACAUUGUGGGUAUUUUUCCGGAUCCUCUUUACUGCAACAAGUUUGUUCUCUAUGCGUCCAAACCAAAGACACGCUGAAAGCUUACCCGAGUCAGUGCGAACAAGGACUUGGCUACAACAUUGGUAUUGGACUUUGCGACAUUGUUCUGCAAAAUGGUGUAUGCCCGCAGGACGAAUAUCCUAUUCCAUCGUGCACAGAACUUGGUGAGAGUGAACCUUUGGAGGAUAAGCCGCAGGAGUAUUUCAUAUGCAAAGAGUAUGGUCGUUCAAAAGAUGUUAUGUAUCUAUUUAUUGAUGUUUGUUCUAAAGCUAAAACUUAUGACAGCUACAUAUGCUCUUAAGCUUAGAAAACAUGUUGUUUGAUGAUUAAUCUGAGAGACAUAUUUGCUUUAUUGUGACAUUUAUUGCAAUAAAACUUAUGUGAAUUUGAACAA
Long non-coding RNA from Zophobas morio, 1037 nucleotides. RefSeq lists it as uncharacterized. The transcript has 3 exons. The record is from RefSeq and is a predicted model, not a curated record. NCBI's taxonomy places the organism in Eukaryota, Metazoa, Arthropoda, Insecta, Coleoptera, Tenebrionidae.